ACCUAUGGCCAUACCACUCUGAAUGUGCCCGAUUUCAUCUGAUCUCAGAAGCUAAGCAGUGUCUGGUCUGGUUAGUAGUUGGAAGGGAGAAUUAAACAAGCAGAGAAAUAGGUA
RNAcentral lists this ribosomal RNA (114 nucleotides) under Prolemur simus (greater bamboo lemur). The record is from RNAcentral. Lineage: Eukaryota; Metazoa; Chordata; Mammalia; Primates; Lemuridae.